This 28-nucleotide non-coding RNA is filed under the name Rattus norvegicus (Norway rat). The record is from RNAcentral. Lineage: Eukaryota; Metazoa; Chordata; Mammalia; Rodentia; Muridae.
GCUCUAAACUUAAAGCAGUUCAUUUAAA